UAUGUUUAAAUAUAAGAUGUAUAUUAAUUUUUGAUAUUAAAAGAGAUAGUUUAAUUCUAUCAAACAUAU
RNAcentral lists this transfer RNA (69 nucleotides) under Oides livida. Its description in RNAcentral is "tRNA-Gln". The record is from RNAcentral. Lineage: Eukaryota; Metazoa; Arthropoda; Insecta; Coleoptera; Chrysomelidae.